GGACACGAAGCCGGAGGAUGCGCUGUUUAAGGACCUCGUCGAUUUCGCGAAAUCCAAGUCGUCGAACUCGAAACCCCCUAGUAACAACAGAUCAUAUUGAUUUGGUACGACGCUGAGAUUAACGUUAUAGUUAUUCAUGAGAUUGAUUGUCACCUAAUAAAAAGAUGUAUUUUUGUAGCCAUUGGGAUCAGAGGUGUUUAUAUGGAGACUGGAGAGGGAGAGAGUGAACUGUUGCUCAUUGCUUCUGUUCAUUGUUGUAUGUUUGCCUGAGAAGUGUUUCUUUGUAUCAUACAUUCACAGUCCCUCCAAUCUGAAUGUGUUGCUAAUCACAGUCGAUGAUGCUCACGAUGUGCAUGGUUUCUUAGACAGAC
Molecule: long non-coding RNA, 371 nt
Filed under: Linum usitatissimum (flax)
Lineage: Eukaryota; Viridiplantae; Streptophyta; Magnoliopsida; Malpighiales; Linaceae
Description: long non-coding RNA (LUSI_LNC001319)
Source: RNAcentral